CGACCGGCGCACGGGUGAGUAACGCGUAUCCAACCUUCCGUACACUCAGGGAUAGCCUUUCGAAAGAAAGAUUAAUACCUGAUGGUAUGAUGAGAUUGCAUGAUAGCAUCAUUAAAGAUUUAUCGGUGUACGAUGGGGAUGCGUUCCAUUAGGUAGUAGGCGGGGUAACGGCCCACCUAGCCAACGAUGGAUAGGGGUUCUGAGAGGAAGGUCCCCCACAUUGGAACUGAGACACGGUCCAAACUCCUACGGGAGGCAGCAGUGAGGAAUAUUGGUCAAUGGACGAGAGUCUGAACCAGCCAAGUAGCGUGAAGGAUGAAGGUCCUACGGAUUGUAAACUUCUUUUAUAAGGGAAUAAACCCUCCCACGUGUGGGAGCUUGUAUGUACCUUAUGAAUAAGCAUCGGCUAACUCCGUGCCAGCAGCCGCGGUAAUACGGAGGAUGCGAGCGUUAUCCGGAUUUAUUGGGUUUAAAGGGAGCGCAGACGGGUCGUUAAGUCAGCUGUGAAAGUUUGGGGCUCAACCUUAAAAUUGCAGUUGAUACUGGCGUCCUUGAGUGCGGUUGAGGUGUGCGGAAUUCGUGGCGUAGCGGUGAAAUGCUUAGAUAUCACGAAGAACUCCGAUUGCGAAGGCAGCACA
Molecule: ribosomal RNA, 638 nt
Filed under: uncultured bacterium
Lineage: Bacteria
Description: bacterial SSU rRNA
Rfam family: Bacterial small subunit ribosomal RNA
Source: RNAcentral